CAGCAAUUGACCCAAAAGGAAAUCAACGUCCACACAAGGACUUGUACACGAGUGUUCACGAGCGCAUCUGAAACAGCCUCAAACGUGCAAUGUCCUCCAACAGAUGAAUGGCUACACACCCUCAGCGUGCUGAAGGACUACCGACUGCCACGCCACAACACAAAUGAACAAACCAUUGAUGCGUGACUCAACACACACCCUCAGCGUGCUGAAGGACUACCGACUGCCACGCCACAACACAAACGAACAAACCAUUGAUGCGUGACUCAACACACACCCUCAGCGUGCUGAAGGACUACCGACUGCCACGCCACAACACAAAUGAACAAACCAUUGAUGCGUGACUCAACACACACCCUCAGCGUGCUGAAGGACUACCGACUGCCACGCCACAACACAAACGAACAAACCAUUGAUGCGUGACUCAACACACACCCUCAGCGUGCUGAAGGACUACCGACUGCCACGCCACAACACGAACAAACCAUUGAUGUGUGACUCAACACACACCCUCAGCGUGCUGAAGGACUACCGACUGCCACGCCACAACACAAACGAGCAAACCAUUGAUGCGUGACUCAACACACACCCUCAGCGUGCUGAAGGACGACCGACUGCCACGCCACAACACGAACAAACCAUUGAUGCGUGACUCAACACACACCCUCAGCGUGCUGAAGGACUACCGACUGCCAUGCCACAACACAAAUGAACAAACCAUUGAUGCGUGACUCAACACACACCCUCAGCGUGCUGAAGGACUACCGACAGCCACACAACACAAAUGAACAAACCAUUGAUGCGUGACUCAACACACACCCUCAGCGUGCUGAAGGACUACCGACUGCCCACACACACACGAGCAAACCAUUGACGCGUGACUCAACACACACCCUCAGCGUGCUGAAGGACUACCGACUGCCACGCCACAACACACAUGAGCAAACCAUUGAUGCGUGACUCAACACACACCCUCAGCGUGCUGAAGGACUACCGACUGCCACACCAUACAAACGAACAAACCAUUGAUGCGUGACUCAACACACACCCUCAGCGUGCUGAAGGACUACCGACUGCCACGCCACAACACGAACAAACCAUUGAUGCGUGACUCAACACACACCCUCACCGUGCUGAAGGACUACCGACUGCCACGCCACAACACAAACGAACAAACCAUUGAUGCGUGACUCAACACACACCCUCAGCGUGCUGAAGGACGACUGACUGCCACGCCACAACACGAACAAACCAUUGAUGUGUGACUCAACACACACCCUCAGCAUGCUGAAGGACUACCGACUGCCACGCCACAACACAAACGAGCAAACCAUUGAUGCGUGACUUAACACACACCCUCAGCGUGCUGAAGGACGACCGACAGCCACACAACACAAAUGAACAAACCAUUGAUGCGUGACUCAACACACACCCUCAGCGUGCUGAAGGACUACCGACUGCCACAACACACACGAGCAAACCAUUGACGCGUGACUCAACAUAAUUACACUGUGAAAAAAGCCGAAGGGAAAAACAUAUACUAUGUGAUCCUACUCCUAUGGAAUUCUACAGAAUACAACUAAUUUAUCGUGACAAAAAGUAGCUCACUGGUGGCCUGGGGCAGGAGGGCGGGUGGUGACCAAGGGCCUGUGGACCCCAUGGGAGCCACAGAUCUGUGGGUCUUCUUGGUUGUCACUAUGGCUUCACAGGUGUGUGCAGACAUCAAAGUUCAGAAAUUAAAGGGCACAUUUUAAAUAUGAGCAGUUUUCAUAUGGCAAUUACACCUCAAUAAGGCUGUUAAAAAUCACCCAAUGGUAAAUUUAAAAGACUGAGAAAAGAACUUUCACGGGAGGAAUGUGACUCCUCCCCCUUGAGCUACGUGUUCAUUUCUUGAAACCACUUGCUGUUGCCACAAGUAGCUCUAAACUAACCCAAUAAUGCCGCACCCAAUAGUUUAACGAUGUACAGCCAAUCACGAAUGAACGUUACUAUUGUAAGCCAAUGAGAAUUCCUGACAGACAACUUUGUAUCUAUCCAAUCACUGUCCCUUUUUGCCUUUAAAAAUCCAUCUGUAGCUAAGGCUGGCUCACUCCUGUAAUCCCGCACUUUGGCGGGCCAAGGUGGACAGAUCACUUGAGGUCAGGAGUUCGAGAUCAGCCUGGCCAACGUGGCAAAACCCCGUUUCUACAAAAAAUACAAAAAUUAGCUGGGCGUGGUGGCGCAUGCCUGUAGUCCCAGCUACUCAGGAGGGUGAGGCAGGAGAAUUGCUUCAAACUACAGGGUGGAGGUUGUGGUGAGCUGAGAUUAUGCAACUGCACUCCAGCCUGGGUGACAGAGUGAGCCUCUGUCUCCAAAAAAAGAAAAAGUCCAUGUGUAACUGCUGCUCACCAGAGUGCAUAUUCAGGGCAAUGGGAUAUGUCCUCCCUGGCUGCAAUCCUCAAGCUUGACCCAAAUAAAUUAUGUAGAUUACUUUUGCCUCUGCUUCUUCCUUUAAGGUUGGCAAAACUCAUCUUAAAACAUCCCACUCUGGAUUUUGUGUGUGUGUAUACUGGGGACAGGGUCUGGCUGUGCUGCCCAGGCUGGAAUACAGUGGUGCAAUCAUAGCUCACUGCACAUCGAACUCCUGGGUUCAAGUGAUCCUCCGGCCUCAGCCUCCCGAGCAGCUGGGACUACAGGUGCACACUCCCACGCCCAGCUAAUUUUUUAAUUUUUUGUAGAGAUAGGGUCUCACUAUGCUGACCAGGCUGGUCUUGAACUCUGCUCAAGCAGUCCUCCUGUAUUUGCCUCCCAAAGUGCUGCGAUUACAGGCAUGAACCACCAUGCUUGACCCACUCCCUAGUCUUAGACUGCUUUCUUCUGAAUGUGUUCCAAUACAAGAUUCCUGGCUAGCACUGAGUCCCGGAGGGGUCCCCAUGGUGAGGAAUGGCUCCUUGGGGGAAAGCACCUGAUCCCCAGAGAGCAGAUGUCAGUGGACGAUGACCUCUGGACAGAGCAGCCUCUCAGAAGCCCCUCCCCGGGCAAGUGGGCCCAGGCCGCAGGUGCCAGGAGCCUUGGGGGCUCCGGCUGCCACAUUCCCGGGACAUGCACAUUCCCUGGACUGUUGGCUCUGCCCCAAAAGUACCUCCAGAGUUCGACCAGGCUGGGCCAGGUCUCUCACCCUGGUUCCUGCAACAGCCUCCCUACCUCCUGCCUCUGUUCUCAGGCCCUCCCGUGGCUCCUAUUAACCCCCAAGUGAAAAUACACAGUACAGAAUACAAAUCAAAAACAAGAUUCUAAGCCCCACAACCAACCAAAUGGAUCCCUUCUCUUGGCCAAGGAGAUUUCAAAGAAACCUGAAAAGCUAGUUCAGACCAUGAUGGGAAGUGGGGGCGGGGUCAGACACGCCUCAUUAUACCCGCUUAUACCCCCUCCCUUUGGAGUUCAGGCACAGCUCAUCAGCAUUAACAUCAAAACACAGAUCUGAUGAUUGACCAGACUUUGUAGCAACAGAUACCAAAUUCCAACCUGACUCUAGUACAACAUCAAUGACAGGUAGCAGGCCCUGAAAGAAAUAAAAAUAUUUUACCCCAAAAUAUCUUUGACAUAUUUUGAAAUGGCCCCGCAAAGCUGUCUUUUGUAGGGGAAACUUACAUUCUUUUUUUUUUGUUUGAGACGGAGUCUCGCUCUGUCACCCAGGCUGGAGUGCCGUGGUGCGAUCUUGGCUCACUGCUACCUCCACCUCCCAGGUUCAAGUGAUUAUCCUGCCUCAGCCUCCCGUGGAGCUGGGACUAUAGGUGCGCACCACCACGCCCAGCUAAUUUUUGUAUUUGUAGUAGAGACAGGGUUUCACCAUGUUGGCCAGGAUGGUCUCCAUGUCCUGACCUCGUGAUCCGCCUGCCUCAGCCUCCUAAAGUGCUGGGAUUACAGGCGUGAGCCACCAUGCCCGGUGGUAAACUUACAUUCUGUAGAUAAUCCCCUUCCCUUUCCAGGUCUUUUUCUGAUCCUGAAGAGAUCUGCUGAGACUCUAGCACAUUUUAAAGGUCUGAAUAAGGGCCGGGCACAGUGGACUCACCAUCUUUUGCCAGGCUGGCCAGGCCCCCCUUGGCCUUUGGCCGGCUGUUUUCUAGUUCAAUCUCAAUUGCAUCCUGGUAACUGGAUAUUUCACCUGAAGUCAUAAGUUAAAAGCAAAAAGUCAGCAUAAAAUCAAUUUUCCCAACAAAACAGAAGCACUGCAUGGGAAGAUCGGUUGGUUACCUUCAACCUCCUCCAGUUUUUUUGACAGGACUUGUUCAAGCUGAAAGGGAACAGGGCAAGAGGCUUCGUGAAGGGAGGCCCUGGUGCACAGCGCAGCCUCUGGGGUGCCCCGUGGGCCCCAGGGACCACAGGCUGCUAGAACUUAGGGGUACGCAGUGGUGGAGGUGGAGCUAUGGGCCUGUGUCCCCCACGGGAAGAGGUGGCACUUCCCAGAGUCUGUGUGAGGGGCAUCCCGGAGCCUCGGGCUCUGGCUGGUCAUAGCACUGAAGAGCGGCUAUGAGGCUUUGGGAUGGCACCAGCUCUGCUACAACCCCAGUUGGGGUGUGCGGCUUCCCCCCAAGGCUGGCAAGCCCAGCACAGAUAGACACCAAGGCCGGCGCUACCUGCUUCAUCCGCAGCUUCCUCUGCCCAGCUGUGUACGAGGGGGGGUCGCACUCCUCCUCCAGGUCGAUCUUCAUGAACUCAUCAAUGGUCAACUGACUGGUGGGGGUGUCUUCAAAUUCCGUGAGCCUAAAAUGGAGCCAGACAUGGGAAAUGGAGCUGGUGGCUCUGAAACCAGAUGUUUAAAACUGAGCUUCCGCCUGGGCGUGGCUCAUGCCUGUGAUCCCAGUGCUUUGGGAGCCCAAGGAGGGUGGAUUGCUUGAGUCCAAGACUUCGAGACCAGCCUAGGCAAC
Molecule: long non-coding RNA, 4907 nt
Filed under: Pan troglodytes (chimpanzee)
Lineage: Eukaryota; Metazoa; Chordata; Mammalia; Primates; Hominidae
Description: long non-coding RNA NONPTRT004974
Source: RNAcentral